GAUUUCUGACGAAACUGCUAGCUGGCCCGCCACGUCAGUGUGUGAGUGCCGGCUUGGCGUUUGUCAUCCGUUCGAACGAUGUGCGCGCUGCCCUUCACUGGGUUGGCGCUGCAUGUUUUCGAUCUUUUACUUUGAAAAAAUUAGAGUGUUUCAAGCAGGCAUUUUUGCUAUGAAUACAUUAGCAUGGAAUAAUAAUCUAGGACUUUCGGUUCUAUUUUGUUGGUGUUCUGGAGCUGAAGUAAUGAUUGAUAGGGAUAGUUGGGGGUGCUAGUAUUCAAUGGCCAGAGGUGAAAUUCUCGGAUUCCUUGAAGACUAACUUAUGCGAAAGCAUU
Molecule: ribosomal RNA, 332 nt
Filed under: uncultured Flectomonas
Lineage: Eukaryota; Cercozoa; Glissomonadida
Description: SSU rRNA
Rfam family: Eukaryotic small subunit ribosomal RNA (bases 119-332)
Source: RNAcentral